GUCGAGAAUCUUCCGCAAUGCGCGAAAGCGUGACGGAGCGACACCGCGUGAUGGAUGAAGUCCUUCGGGGCGUAAACAUCUUUUAUAAAGGAGGAAAUUUUUGACGUUACUUUAUGAAUAAGGGGCUCCCAAUCUCGUGCCAGCAGGAGCGGUAAUACGAGAGCCUCAAGCGUUAUCCGGAAUCAUUGGGCGUAAAGGGUGCGUAGGUGGUUUGAUUAGUCUCCCGUUAAAACUUUGAGCUUAACUCGAAAAGAGCGGGGGAAACGGUCAAACUAGAGUAUGUGAGAGGUGUGUGGAACUCAUGGUGUAGGGGUGAAAUCCGUUGAUAUCAUGGGGAACACCAAAAGCGAAGGCAGCACACUGGCACAUCACUGACACUGAGGCACGAAACCUAAGGUAGCGAAUGGGAUUAGAAACCCGAGUAGUCC
RNAcentral lists this ribosomal RNA (428 nucleotides) under uncultured bacterium. Its description in RNAcentral is "bacterial SSU rRNA". It matches the Rfam family "Bacterial small subunit ribosomal RNA", at positions 354 to 796 of the family's 1533-position model. The record is from RNAcentral.